Molecule: ribosomal RNA, 402 nt
Filed under: uncultured Paracoccaceae bacterium
Lineage: Bacteria; Pseudomonadati; Pseudomonadota; Alphaproteobacteria; Rhodobacterales; Paracoccaceae
Description: bacterial SSU rRNA
Rfam family: Bacterial small subunit ribosomal RNA
Source: RNAcentral
AGUGGGGAAUCUUGGACAAUGGGCGCAAGCCUGAUCCAGCCAUGCCGCGUGAGUGAUGAAGGCCCUAGGGUCGUAAAGCUCUUUCGCCAGGGAUGAUAAUGACAGUACCUGGUAAAGAAACCCCGGCUAACUCCGUGCCAGCAGCCGCGGUAAUACGGAGGGGGUUAGCGUUGUUCGGAAUUACUGGGCGUAAAGCGCGCGUAGGCGGAUUGGAAAGUUAGGGGUGAAAUCCCGGGGCUCAACCCCGGAACUGCCUCUAAAACUCCCAGUCUAGAGUUCGAGAGAGGUGAGUGGAAUUCCGAGUGUAGAGGUGAAAUUCGUAGAUAUUCGGAGGAACACCAGUGGCGAAGGCGGCUCACUGGCUCGAUACUGACGCUGAGGUGCGAAAGCGUGGGGAGCAAA